This 403-nucleotide ribosomal RNA is filed under the name Verrucomicrobiota bacterium. RNAcentral's name for it is "Verrucomicrobia bacterium partial 16S ribosomal RNA". It matches the Rfam family "Bacterial small subunit ribosomal RNA", at positions 355 to 776 of the family's 1533-position model. The record is from RNAcentral. Lineage: Bacteria; Pseudomonadati; Verrucomicrobiota.
UGGGGAAUAUUGCACAAUGGAGGGAACUCUGAUGCAGCGACGCCGCGUGAACGAAGAAGGCUUUCGAGUCGUAAAGUUCUUUUAUAUGGGAAGAUAAUGACGGUACCAUAAGAAAAAGCCCCGGCUAACUACGUGCCAGCAGCCGCGGUAAUACGUAGGGGGCUAGCGUUGUCCGGAAUCACUGGGCGUAAAGGGUUCGCAGGCGGAAUAACAAGUCAGAUGUGAAAGGCAUGGGCUCAACCCAUGUAAGCAUUUGAAACUGUAAUUCUUGAGAAGUGGAGAGGUAAGUGGAAUUCCUAGUGUAGCGGUGAAAUGCGUAGAUAUAUGGAGGAACACCGGUGGCGAAAGCGGCUCUCUGGUCUGUAACUGACGCUGAGGCUCGAAAGCGUGGGGAGCGAACAGG